This 402-nucleotide ribosomal RNA is filed under the name uncultured bacterium. RNAcentral's name for it is "bacterial SSU rRNA". It matches the Rfam family "Bacterial small subunit ribosomal RNA", at positions 355 to 774 of the family's 1533-position model. The record is from RNAcentral.
UCGGGAAUUUUGGGCAAUGGGCGAAAGCCUGACCCAGCAACGCCGCGUGAGGGAUAAAGUAUUUCGGUAUGUAAACCUCGAAAGAAUGGGAAGAAUAAAUGACGGUACCAUUUAUAAGCUCCGGCUAACUACGUGCCAGCAGCCGCGGUAAUACGUAGGGAGCAAGCGUUGUUCGGAUUUACUGGGCGUAAAGGGCGCGUAGGCGGCGCGGUAAGUCACUUGUGAAAUCUCUGAGCUUAACUCAGAACGGCCAAGUGAUACUGCUGUGCUAGAGUGCGGAAGAGGCAACCGGAAUUCUUGGUGUAGCGGUGAAAUGCGUAGAUAUCAAGAGGAACACCUGAGGCGAAGGCGGGUUGCUGGGCCGACACUGACGCUGAUGCGCGAAAGCCAGGGGAGCAAACG